AGAGUUUGAUCCUGGCUCAGGACGAACGCUGGCGGCGUGCUUAAUACAUGCAAGUCGAGCGAGGUUACUGCGACAGAUCCCUUCGGGGUGAAGUUGCUUUAACCUAGCGGCGGACGGGUGAGUAACGCGUGGGUAACCUACCCUAAAGUUCGGGAUAACAGCGGGAAACCGCUGCUAAUACCGGAUGCCUUUACCUUGGGGCAUCUUGAGGUAAAGAAAGGUAACGCUUUGGGAUGGGCCCGCGUCCCAUUAGCUAGUUGGUGAGGUAACGGCUCACCAAGGCGACGAUGGGUAGCCGGCCUGAGAGGGUGGACGGCCACACUGGGACUGAGACACGGCCCAGACUCCUACGGGAGGCAGCAGUAGGGAAUAUUGCGCAAUGGACGGAAGUCUGACGCAGCGACGCCGCGUGAGCGAUGAAGGUCUUCGGAUCGUAAAGCUCUGUCCUUGGGGAAGAAGGUCUUCGGACUUGACGGUACCCAAGAAGAAAGCCCCGGCUAACUACGUGCCAGCAGCCGCGGUAAUACGUAGGGGGCGAGCGUUGUCCGGAAUUACUGGGCGUAAAGGGUGCGUAGGCGGCCCUUUAAGUCGGAUGUGAAAGCCCGCGGCUUAACCGCGGAAUGGCAUUCGAAACUGGAGGGCUUGAGUGUCGGAGAGGGUAGUGGAAUUCCCAGUGUAGCGGUGAAAUGCGUAGAUAUUGGGAGGAACACCAGUGGCGAAGGCGACUACCUGGACGAUAACUGACGCUGAGGCACGAAAGCUAGGGGAGCAAACAGGAUUAGAUACCCUGGUAGUCCUAGCCGUAAACGAUGGGUACUAGGUGUAGGUGGUUUCGAUACCAUCUGUGCCGUAGUUAACGCAUUAAGUACCCCGCCUGGGGAGUACGUGCGCAAGCAUGAAACUUAAAUGAAUUGACGG
This 918-nucleotide ribosomal RNA is filed under the name uncultured bacterium. Its description in RNAcentral is "bacterial SSU rRNA". It matches the Rfam family "Bacterial small subunit ribosomal RNA", at positions 8 to 916 of the family's 1533-position model. The record is from RNAcentral.